GUAUWCGGUCAUAGCUGUUUCCURMRRCGAACUCUGGUAUUGAUUGGUGCUUGCAUCAUGAUUUACAUUUGAGUGAGUGGCGAACUGGUGAGUAACACGUGGGAAACCUGCCCAGAAGCGGGGGAUAACACCUGGAAACAGAUGCUAAUACCGCAUAACAACUUGGACCGCAUGGUCCGAGUUUGAAAGAUGGCUUCGGCUAUCACUUUUGGAUGGYCCCGCGGCGUAUUAGCUAGAUGGUGGGGUAACGGCUCACCAUGGCRAUGAUACGUAGCCGACCUGAGAGGGUAAUCGGCCACAUUGGGACUGAGACACGGCCCAAACUCCUACGGGAGGCAGCAGUAGGGAAUCUUCCACAAUGGACGAAAGUCUGAUGGAGCAACGCCGCGUGAGUGAAGAAGGGUUUCGGCUCGUAAAACUCUGUUGUUAAAGAAGAACAUAUCUGAGAGUAACUGUUCAGGUAUUGACGGUAUUUAACCAGAAAGCCACGGCUAACUACGUGCCAGCMGCCGCGGUAAU
RNAcentral lists this ribosomal RNA (519 nucleotides) under Lactiplantibacillus plantarum. RNAcentral describes it as "bacterial SSU rRNA". It matches the Rfam family "Bacterial small subunit ribosomal RNA", at positions 1 to 524 of the family's 1533-position model. Lineage: Bacteria; Bacillati; Bacillota; Bacilli; Lactobacillales; Lactobacillaceae. The record is from RNAcentral.